UCAGUAGGCGGUGUGGCAAGUCGGGAGUGAAAUCUCUGGGCUUAACUCAGAGGCUGCUUCCGAAACUGCUGUGCUUGAGUGUGGGAGAGGCGCGUGGAAUUGCAGGUGUAGCGGUGAAAUGCGUAGAUAUCUGCAGGAACACCCGUGGCGAAAGCGGCGCGCUGGACCACAACUGACGCUGAAUGACGAAAGCUAGGGGAGCAAACAGGAUUAGAUACCCUGGUAGUCCUAGCCCUAAACGAUCAGGACUUGGGGUGACUCGCGUAGGCGAGUCGUCCCGUAGCUAACGCGUUAAGUCCUGCACCUGGGGAGUACGGUCGCAAGACUGAA
Molecule: ribosomal RNA, 330 nt
Filed under: uncultured bacterium
Lineage: Bacteria
Description: bacterial SSU rRNA
Rfam family: Bacterial small subunit ribosomal RNA
Source: RNAcentral